GCGAAAGUGGCGGAACUGGUAGACGCACCAGACUUAGGAUCUGGCGGCCAUGCCGUGGGGGUUCGAGUCCCCCCUUUCGCACCA
RNAcentral lists this transfer RNA (84 nucleotides) under Gemmatimonadota bacterium. RNAcentral's name for it is "tRNA-Leu". It matches the Rfam family "tRNA". From Rfam's summary of the family: Transfer RNA (tRNA) molecules are approximately 80 nucleotides in length. Their secondary structure includes four short double-helical elements and three loops (D, anti-codon, and T loops). Further hydrogen bonds mediate the characteristic L-shaped molecular structure. tRNAs have two regions of fundamental functional importance: the anti-codon, which is responsible for specific mRNA codon recognition, and the 3' end, to which the tRNAs corresponding amino acid is attached (by aminoacyl-tRNA synthetases). tRNAs cope with the degeneracy of the genetic code in two manners: having more than one tRNA (with a specific anti-codon) for a particular amino acid; and 'wobble' base-pairing, i.e. permitting non-standard base-pairing at the 3rd anti-codon position. Lineage: Bacteria; Pseudomonadati; Gemmatimonadota. The record is from RNAcentral.